This 376-nucleotide unclassified non-coding RNA is filed under the name uncultured Actinomycetes bacterium. RNAcentral describes it as "uncultured actinobacterium contains 16S-23S intergenic spacer region". The record is from RNAcentral. Lineage: Bacteria; Bacillati; Actinomycetota; Actinomycetes.
UCCGAGUUGACCCCGGCAGUCUCCCAUGAGUCCCCACCCGAAGUGCUGGCAACAUGGAACGAGGGUUGCGCUCGUUGCGGGACUUAACCCAACAUCUCACGACACGAGCUGACGACAACCAUGCACCACCUGUGACCCGCCCCGAAGGACCCCACAUCUCUGCAGGUAAACGAGCCAUGUCAAGCCUUGGUAAGGUUCUUCGCGUUGCAUCGAAUUAAGCCGCAUGCUCCGCCGCUUGUGCGGGCCCCCGUCAAUUCCUUUGAGUUUUAGCCUUGCGGCCGUACUCCCCAGGCGGGGCGCUUAAUGCGUUAGCUGCGGCACGGAGAUCGUGGAAAGACCCCCACACCUAGCGCCCAACGUUUACAGCGUGGACUAC